Molecule: ribosomal RNA, 1455 nt
Filed under: Microbacterium sp.
Lineage: Bacteria; Bacillati; Actinomycetota; Actinomycetes; Micrococcales; Microbacteriaceae
Description: bacterial SSU rRNA
Rfam family: Bacterial small subunit ribosomal RNA
Source: RNAcentral
ACAUGCGGGUGCUACCAUGCAGUCGAACGGUGAAGCCAAGCUUGCUUGGUGGAUCAGUGGCGAACGGGUGAGUAACACGUGAGCAACCUGCCCUGGACUCUGGGAUAAGCGCUGGAAACGGCGUCUAAUACUGGAUAUGAGCUCCUUCCGCAUGGUGGGGGUUGGAAAGAUUUUUCGGUCUGGGAUGGGCUCGCGGCCUAUCAGCUUGUUGGUGAGGUAAUGGCUCACCAAGGCGUCGACGGGUAGCCGGCCUGAGAGGGUGACCGGCCACACUGGGACUGAGACACGGCCCAGACUCCUACGGGAGGCAGCAGUGGGGAAUAUUGCACAAUGGGCGGAAGCCUGAUGCAGCAACGCCGCGUGAGGGAUGACGGCCUUCGGGUUGUAAACCUCUUUUAGCAGGGAAGAAGCGAAAGUGACGGUACCUGCAGAAAAAGCGCCGGCUAACUACGUGCCAGCAGCCGCGGUAAUACGUAGGGCGCAAGCGUUAUCCGGAAUUAUUGGGCGUAAAGAGCUCGUAGGCGGUUUGUCGCGUCUGCUGUGAAAUCCCGAGGCUCAACCUCGGGCCUGCAGUGGGUACGGGCAGACUAGAGUGCGGUAGGGGAGAUUGGAAUUCCUGGUGUAGCGGUGGAAUGCGCAGAUAUCAGGAGGAACACCGAUGGCGAAGGCAGAUCUCUGGGCCGUAACUGACGCUGAGGAGCGAAAGGGUGGGGAGCAAACAGGCUUAGAUACCCUGGUAGUCCACCCCGUAAACGUUGGGAACUAGUUGUGGGGACCAUUCCACGGUUUCCGUGACGCAGCUAACGCAUUAAGUUCCCCGCCUGGGGAGUACGGCCGCAAGGCUAAAACUCAAAGGAAUUGACGGGGACCCGCACAAGCGGCGGAGCAUGCGGAUUAAUUCGAUGCAACGCGAAGAACCUUACCAAGGCUUGACAUAUACGAGAACGGGCCAGAAAUGGUCAACUCUUUGGACACUCGUAAACAGGUGGUGCAUGGUUGUCGUCAGCUCGUGUCGUGAGAUGUUGGGUUAAGUCCCGCAACGAGCGCAACCCUCGUUCUAUGUUGCCAGCACGUAAUGGUGGGAACUCAUGGGAUACUGCCGGGGUCAACUCGGAGGAAGGUGGGGAUGACGUCAAAUCAUCAUGCCCCUUAUGUCUUGGGCUUCACGCAUGCUACAAUGGCCGGUACAAAGGGCUGCAAUACCGUAAGGUGGAGCGAAUCCCAAAAAGCCGGUCCCAGUUCGGAUUGAGGUCUGCAACUCGACCUCAUGAAGUCGGAGUCGCUAGUAAUCGCAGAUCAGCAACGCUGCGGUGAAUACGUUCCCGGGUCUUGUACACACCGCCCGUCAAGUCAUGAAAGUCGGUAACACCUGAAGCCGGUGGCCCAACCCUUGUGGAGGGAGCCGUCGAAGGUGGGAUCGGUAAUUAGGACUAAGUCGUAGCAAGAGCAUUAAGG